Long non-coding RNA from Saccostrea cuccullata (small rock oyster), 1510 nucleotides. RefSeq lists it as uncharacterized. Lineage: Eukaryota; Metazoa; Mollusca; Bivalvia; Ostreida; Ostreidae. The transcript has 3 exons. The record is from RefSeq and is a predicted model, not a curated record.
UGUCCAGAGUAUGGGCCCAGCAGGUACAUUCAGGGCAGUGCGCUAUGGCCUAGGGAUGGUGGGAAAAAAAUCUUUAAAAAUCUUUUUUUCAAAAAUAUCAAAACCAUGAUUAGUCCUAUUCAUAUGGAAGUAUUCUCAGGUAGUGUAGAUUCAAUUUUGGCUAAAUAAUGACCCCUGGGGGUAGGGCAGGGCCACAAUAUAAGUUCAAAUGUAAAGGGCAAUAAAACCACAGGUAGUCAAAGAAAUAUGCAAGUAUCCUUAGUUAGUGUAGAUUCAAGUUUGUUCAGAUAAUGGUCCUAGCUCUCCUUUUUAAGGAUUGUUUGGGACCACUAUUGCGCAAGUGAGUUAAGACUAAAUAUGAAUAUUCUAUGCAAAUGAGCUAAUAAAAAUGCAUAAGUUGUAUAUUUUAUGUACAGAGAAAGUUCAAAUUGAUUUUCUUAUACAUACUUGGUACCCAGGGCUUAUUUAUGCAAGUGCACAUUAUGACGUCAUAUUAUGAUGUCAUUGUUCUCUCUCAUUCAAGGCAUUUAUUAUAAAUCACAUCAACAAAAUCACAUCGGCGCAAGAGCAUAUCCAAUCUAAUUUAAAAUAAAUAAUGUAUUAUAUUAAGGAGAAUAUUAUUAAAAUUAAUAAAAUUGCUGCACAAAUCCUAGGCACUUUCUCAAUCGAUAAAAAUUUUAGGAAACUUACACUGGACUGUGAAUUUUUUCUCUGUUUAAACUUAAAACUGCACGAAUAGUAACUAAACAAUUGCAGUGCCGACAUUUGUGCAGCUAUAUCCUAAACCCUUGGAAUAUCCUGCGUCUUUUUAUACCUUGCUUCUGUAAAACAAAAUAAGGUAUGCCCUUGCGCCGAAGCGAUUUCGUUGAUGUUUCUUAUAAACUUGUGUAGUAGAGGUUGAUGACGUCAUAAUGUGUACUGUCUAUUGCAUGUCGUGGGUACUAAGAAUGUAAAAGAAAACAAGUCUUAACAUUUUCUGUGCAGUAGGUAGAGCAAUUAUGGAAUUUAAUUAGAUAUUUUGCAUAGAAACCUCCAUAUUUAGCCUUAACUCACAUGCGUGGGUUUCAACUUUUCAAUCAUAAACUAAUUUAUGCUUUUUUCCUAACCACAUUGCUCAGGUGAGCGAUGUGGCCCAUGGGCCUUUGUUGUUUAAACAGGCAAAUUAUGACAUAGAGCUGCUGUCUCUACAAGAGACCAUACAACAGAAGGUCGUGACCCUGCUGAGUGACCCGGACAACAGAAGGUCAUGACCCUGCUGAGUGACCCGGACAACAGAAGGUCGUGACCCUGCUGAGUGACCCAGACAACAGAAGGUCGUGACCCUGCUGAGUGACCCGGACAACAGUGUUAAACAGACCCUACUGGAGAACGGAAUCACAAAGCUGUGUGUCUGCUUUGACAGGCAAAAAGCCAGUGAUGUGCUACUGUCUCACAUGAUUACUUUCCUCAGUGACAAGACUGACUGGCAUCUCCGUGGCUCCUUCUUUGACAACAUUGUGGGUGUGGCCGC